UGCAGUCGAACGGACCCUUCGGGGUUAGUGGCGGACGGGUGAGUAACACGUGGGAACGUGCCUUUAGGUUCGGAAUAGCUCCUGGAAACGGGUGGUAAUGCCGAAUGUGCCCUUCGGGGGAAAGAUUUAUCGCCUUUAGAGCGGCCCGCGUCUGAUUAGCUAGUUGGUGGGGUAAUGGCCCACCAAGGCUACGAUCAGUAGCUGGUCUGAGAGGAUGACCAGCCACAUUGGGACUGAGACACGGCCCAAACUCCUACGGGAGGCAGCAGUGGGGAAUCUUGCGCAAUGGGCGAAAGCCUGACGCAGCCAUGCCGCGUGUAUGAUGAAGGUCUUAGGAUUGUAAAAUACUUUCACCGGUGAAGAUAAUGACUGUAGCCGGAGAAGAAGCCCCGGCUAACUUCGUGCCAGCAGCCGCGGUAAUACGAAGGGGGCUAGCGUUGCUCGGAAUUACUGGGCGUAAAGGGAGCGUAGGCGGACAUUUAAGUCAGAGGUGAAAUCCCGGAGCUUAACUUCGGAACUGCCUUUGAUACUGGGUGUCUUGAGUGUGAGAGAGGUAUGUGGAACUCCGAGUGUAGAGGUGAAAUUCGUAGAUAUUCGGAAGAACACCAGUGGCGAAGGCGACAUACUGGCUCAUUACUGACGCUGAGGCUCGAAAGCGUGGGGAGCAAACAGGA
This 674-nucleotide ribosomal RNA is filed under the name bacterium SVAL1.49. Its description in RNAcentral is "bacterial SSU rRNA". It matches the Rfam family "Bacterial small subunit ribosomal RNA", at positions 56 to 777 of the family's 1533-position model. The record is from RNAcentral.